AUUGAACGCUGGCGGGGUGCUUUACACAUGCAAGUCGAACGGCAGCACGGACUUCGGUCUGGUGGCGAGUGGCGAACGGGUGAGUAAUGUAUCGGAACGUGCCCAGUCGUGGGGGAUAACGUAGUGAAAAUUACGCUAAUACCGCAUACGAUCUAUGGAUGAAAGCGGGGGAUCGCAAGACCUCGCGCGAUUGGAGCGGCCGAUAUCAGAUUAGGUAGUUGGUGGGGUAAAGGCCCACCAAGCCAACGAUCUGUAGCUGGUCUGAGAGGACGACCGGCCACACUGGAACUGGGACACGGUCCAGACUCCUACGGGAGGCAGCAGUGGGGAAUUUUGGACAAUGGGCGAAAGCCUGAUCCAGCCAUUCCGCGUGCAGGAUGAAGGCCCUCGGGUCGUAAACUGCUUUUGUACAGAACGAAAAGGUUUCUACUAAUACUAGGAGCUCAUGACGGUACUGUAAGAAUAAGCACCGGCUAACUACGUGCCAGCCGCCGCCGCAG
RNAcentral lists this ribosomal RNA (500 nucleotides) under uncultured bacterium. RNAcentral describes it as "partial 16S ribosomal RNA". It matches the Rfam family "Bacterial small subunit ribosomal RNA", at positions 30 to 523 of the family's 1533-position model. The record is from RNAcentral.